RNAcentral lists this ribosomal RNA (840 nucleotides) under uncultured bacterium. RNAcentral's name for it is "bacterial SSU rRNA". It matches the Rfam family "Bacterial small subunit ribosomal RNA", at positions 556 to 1398 of the family's 1533-position model. The record is from RNAcentral.
GGGCGUAAAGCGAACGCAGGCGGACUGUUAAGUAGGAAGUGAAAGGUCGGAGCUCAACUCCAACAUUGCUUCCUAUACUGGCAGUCUUGAGUAGCGGAGAGGAAGGGGGAACGACACGUGUAGCGGUGAAAUGCGUUGAUAUGUGUCGGAACACCCAUGGCGAAAGCACCCUUCUGGACGCAAACUGACGCUCAGGUUCGAAAGCUAAGGUAGCGAACAGGAUUAGAUACCCUGGUAGUCUUACCCCUAAACUAUGUUCACUAGGUGUCGGGGGGUUUCCUUCGGUGCCGCAGCUAACGCAUUAAGUGAACCGCCUGGGGACUACGGCCGCAAGGCUGAAACUCAAAGGAAUUGGCGGGGGCCCGCACAAGCGGUGGAGCAUAUGGCUUAAUUCGAUGCAACGCGAAGAACCUUACCAGGGCUUGACAUGUACCUGCAAUCCCCCGAAACGGGGCCGCCUUCGAGGGUGGUGCACAGGUGGUGCAUGGCUGUCGUCAGCUCGUGUUGUGAAAUGUUGGGUUAAGUCCCGCAACGAGCGCAACUCUCAUGUUUUGUUACCAGCGGAUAAUGCCGGGGACUCGAGACAAACUGCCUCUGUAAAGAGGAGGAAGGUGGGAACGACGUCAAGUCAUCAUGCCCCUUACGCCCUGGGGCUGCACAUAUGCUACAAUGGCUUCUACAAAGGGGUUGCUAACCAGCGAUGGUACGCUAAUCUCAAAAAACAAGUCUCAGAUUCGGAUCGGAGUCUCGCACUCGACUCAUGAUGUUGUGAAUCGCUAGUAACCGCAGAUCAGCACUACUGCCGCGAUACGUUCCCGGGCCUGCACGUCACUGCCCGUC